This 465-nucleotide ribosomal RNA is filed under the name Vreelandella stevensii. RNAcentral's name for it is "partial 16S ribosomal RNA". It matches the Rfam family "Bacterial small subunit ribosomal RNA", at positions 338 to 795 of the family's 1533-position model. The record is from RNAcentral. Lineage: Bacteria; Pseudomonadati; Pseudomonadota; Gammaproteobacteria; Oceanospirillales; Halomonadaceae.
CCUACGGGGGGCAGCAGUGGGGAAUAUUGGACAAUGGGGGCAACCCUGAUCCAGCGAUGGCGCGUGUGUGAAGAAGGCCCUCGGGUUGUAAAGCACUUUCAGUGAGGAAGAACGCCUGGUGGUUAAUACCCAUCAGGAAAGACAACACUCACAGAAGAAGCACCGGCUAACUCCGUGCCAGCAGCCGCGGUAAUACGGAGGGUGCGAGCGUUAAUCGGAAUUACUGGGCGUAAAGCGCGCGUAGGUGGCUUGAUAAGCCGGUUGUGAAAGCCCCGGGCUCAACCUGGGAACGGCAUCCGGAACUGUCAAGCUAGAGUGCAGGAGAGGAAGGUAGAAUUCCCGGUGUAGCGGUGAAAUGAGUAGAGAUCGGGAGGAAUACCAGUGGCGAAGGCGGCCUUCUGGACUGACACUGACACUGAGGUGCGAAAGCGUGGGUAGCAAACAGGAGUAGAUACCCUAGUAGUC